UAAGGAUUUAAGUUAAGUUAAACUAAUAACCUUCAAAGUUAUAAAUAGAUUAAAUCUAAGCCUUAG
Molecule: transfer RNA, 66 nt
Filed under: unidentified
Description: Strongylium kulzeri tRNA-Trp
Source: RNAcentral